RNAcentral lists this unclassified non-coding RNA (2693 nucleotides) under Hevea brasiliensis (rubber tree). The record is from RNAcentral. Lineage: Eukaryota; Viridiplantae; Streptophyta; Magnoliopsida; Malpighiales; Euphorbiaceae.
AGGCCCAAAAAGUAAUAUUCCUUUGCAUGGCCGCAGCAAAUUUCCGCGAGAAAACAGCUCCGGUCUCCUCAUAGGAAGAAUGACAAGUUCAUUCAAUGCCUUCUUUACAUCUUCAAGAGCACCUAUAUCAUCAAACUUGACACCAAUUUCACCAGGAGGUACCACAGCUGAAACAAAGUUACUCUCAUACUCAUCCUUUGCAAGGUUCUUCAAAUUUAAUGAUGGCUUUUGAGAUGUGGUUUCUUGCUCCUUCAACCUCAUAAUUGCAAUUUCAAGGCUUUCACUAGGCAAAAUCAAUCUCUCUCCUUUUAUGGAUGGAAGCAGGCAAGAUGACAAGUAAUGAUUCUUAGCCCAACCAACAACUUUUUCAGCUUUUUGCUUUGUCAAAACUACACCAUCAGUAUUUACAUGCAAUAGGUCCAGGCAAGACAUUUCGUUUUCUUCAAGAACCUUGUACAGUUCAUUUAAAUUGCUUCUAGAUAUUACAAUUCUCCUGUCCUCUUCAAUCUGUUUAUUGAACGUUCUGAGAAGAUCUUCCUCCUUUGGAGCAUGUAUGGACAGAACAUUAGUGAAGAGCUUAUAUAUUUCAUUGUCAUUGGACCUCUUUGUCACCCUGAGUCCCUCAGUAAGUUGCUUCAAAGAGAGAGGCAGCUUAGCUAGACGACCGAAAUUUGGGAGUAUCAUUGUAAAAUUCUCUUUCUCCUUUGACCCCGUUUCAACUUUGUUCUGGCCACAUAUCAAUACAACUGGACCUGAUAUUUUGUCAAACAUUUCUCGAACCUUCUGGACAAAAUCCUUGUGAUUUGACUUGGGAACUGCCCUAGACAACCAUAGAGAUGAAUCUUGAAAAUACACAAUAAGGGGUUGCAUGGAAUGCACAACCUCACAUAAAGCCUCCAUCGCAAUGUAGCAAUCUUCUGCCUCUGUGUCAGGAUCAUGCUCAAUGUCCUUAACAUCUAUCCAAUAAACUGGUGCUUUUGCAGGCCCCUCUUUAAGAUUCUCAUCCCUUUCUACAUUUGCAAUGCUAUCACUAGCAAUAUCCAAAAUAACAGCAACUCGAUCUCCAUUCACCUCAUAAACCUCCCCACGCUGACCACUUGACAAAGGCCUGCCACGCAUAGUAGUAUAGGCAUUUUUCAGACCAUCAGAUGUCAGUAUCUUGCCCAAUAUGAUCCUGUCAUUAGCUUCAAUGCAUACAGAAGGCCCUAUAUACUUCACACUAUCACCUUUCUUAAGUGGCCGUUUGCAGGUAUCAGAAGGCUCAGCAGCCUCAGACCUAGAGCUUUCCAGGGAACUAUCUGAUUCUCCAGAGACUCUCUUCUCAAAUUCUUCAAGAUUGUAAGGAAUGAGCUUCUUAAGAGCUGCUUCAGCAGUUGCCUGCACAUCAACUACAUCAUCAUCACUGCAGUCUGAUUUUGCCUCAGCACUGCUUGUCCACUCCUCUUCGUUAACUGUGUCAUUCUCAUCCUCUACCUCUGACUCUGAGGUACACUCCUCUGCAGAUCCUGUAUUAUCAUCUGAUUCACACUCUGAAGAGCAAUCAUCACCAAAAUCCUACAACAAAAUCAAUAGAAUAUUGACCAAAAUCCGAAAAUAAAUUCAAAUAUUAGAAAUGCAGAAAAUAUUACAAAAUAUCAAAAUUCCUAAAUUAUCCUAAUCUUACAAAAGGAGUAAGGACACCGCUAUCAAGUAUGAUUAAGGGAACUUGCAGAUCUCGUGCAAGUGCUCUAACUAUUCUCUCCCGAUAAAGCUCAGUACCUGGAAUGCUUUGAAGCAAUAUUCUCCCACUUGAAGACAUCAAACGAGCCCCAUAGGAAGCAGUGAAUUUCUUAUGUUUCAAAUGGGAAGCAACACAUUCCACCAAAACACUCUUGAUAUUCUCAUUAAUGUAGUACGGAAAAGUCUCCCAAGAAACAUGUAUUCUCUCCCAUGGAAUAACCCUCCGCAAAAUUUCAUUUUUAAACCUUUCACGUCUAGUCAAAAAAGGAGAUUCCUUCUUUUUACUUUCUAUGGCAAGCUUCUCAUUGUGAAGCCAUUCCUUUUGAUCCUGUUCUGCAAGCUGAGCAUGUGCAUUGGAGUGAACUGCUUCUUCUUUAGCCAUUUCCUGCUGAGUCUUGCCAUUAUCAAAGUUGACUCCAUCUUUUCCAGAUGCCUGUUUAUCCUCACUGGUAUUCCUCCCAUCACCUUCUGAACUAUAGAAGCGUAAUUGACUAUUACUCAAAUAUGUAAUACCCCUCACACAUGAACAAGAAAAAUUAAAUCCCCGGGCAACCCCCUGUGAUGAAAAUGAAUCUAAUAGGUAUCUCUUGAUAAAAGCAACAUUUGAAGAGUGGCCUCCCACUUUAGUUGUAUGGCUAAAAGAUCGAGAACAAGCAUAUUCCUGGCGGUUUGGCCUAGAAUAAUGUUUGGGUGGCAGAAAGACAGAACCCCAUCUCUGAUGUCUUCCCUUUAUUAUACUUGUAUACAUUGCAGCUUCUCACUUCUAGUUCAAAUGGCGGAGCUGAUGCUGAUGCUGCGGCUGUCACCUGUGCACUUGAAAUCGAUGUUGAAAUGCAUAUAAGUAGAAAAGUCGAAGCUUUCUAGUUAGAACUGAGGGUAGUGUUUGUUGAAGAAUAAGAGAGCGAGAGAGAGAGAGAGAUUAGGGUUGCGAUUUCAGUGAUAGAGAAAGGAUGGCAAGAUGAGGGAGAAAAAAU